GGAGUUUGUGAACUGAUACUUUAUAAACUAGAAGAAAAACUAAAGUCCAGCUGGUUGAAAACCAGAAGUAAUUGAUAUUUUUUAUAUUGCUUUAGGGAGAGGAUUUUUAGGAGUGUAUAAUCCUGACCCACAGCUGUUUCAUAACUUCAUCAUGCUGAACAAGGCUUCAUCACUUCACAAAAACAGGUCUUCCUCCCCAACAGCUCCAGUUAAUUCUGACCAUGAAGAACCCAGAUCUUCCCUCAUACAAAGCCUGAGACCUUCAACCUCCACAUCAAAAAUCAUAUUUAGUGGCAUCUUAAAUCCUACCACAUGCAUCAGUGCUAACGUUACCAUUGUGUUCAUCGUCUCCAAGGAGCAUUACCCAGUUUAUGAUGUGAACAACUUGUACAACACAAACACCGACUUUGACUGGGGGGACUUUCGAAGACUUGCAGAGGAAAUAAGAGCUGUUUCCCAAACCUUCCUCUUCUUCCUUUUCCAGUUCCAGCACCCUGGUACCUAUGUGUUACAGCUGAGCAGCAAUCAGCACAAAAAAAUGGUUUGUAUUGAGGAAUGCUGUCUUUGCAUUUACAAUAUCCUUCUUAGCAAAGCAUUUAAAUGCUCCAAAUUAUGGUUUGGAAUUGAAAGGAAAUAGUAAAUCUAUCACUGAGCAUCUUUUCAUUUUUACAUGCCAUACUGCAGAGGUGAGUACAGCAACAAAUGCAGGUGUUUUUGUGCACAAGCAUUACAUAUGAGUGCAAAAUGGUACAACUGCUGCAAAAGUUUGACUCAGUGUCAUAGCCAAAAUAACACUUCAGAUUUAAAUCACUAUGUAUACUUAAAUAAUUUGCAGUGACAGUGACUGGCAUUUCUACUUAUGUUCACUAAGUACAUUAGGGUCAUGCCACUUGGAGGACAAUGUUAUGAAGAGGGGCCAUUCUUCCCCACAACUCCCAGAUAUGCUGUGCAGGUGGGCAUUGCCAGAAAGCAAGACCUCCUACUGAAACCUGACUGGACAACCAUUAUUGGAGUGAUCACGGGACUUCUCACAUUGCUUAUUACCUGUGUGGUGUUGACAGUAAGUAACAGUUACAUUAAGUCUCUUCUUGAAAGAUUUUGUGCAAUGAACCCACUAGCC
RNAcentral lists this long non-coding RNA (1120 nucleotides) under Phasianus colchicus (ring-necked pheasant). Its description in RNAcentral is "lncRNA (ENSPCLG00000011251.1)". Lineage: Eukaryota; Metazoa; Chordata; Aves; Galliformes; Phasianidae. The record is from RNAcentral.